Molecule: non-coding RNA, 135 nt
Organism: Triticum aestivum (bread wheat)
Lineage: Eukaryota; Viridiplantae; Streptophyta; Magnoliopsida; Poales; Poaceae
Source: Rfam
AAAGUACUCCCUCCGUCCCAAAAUUCUUGUCUUAGAUUUGUCUAGAUAUGGAUGUAUCAAGUCACAUUUUAGUAUUAGAUACAUUCGUAUCUAGACAAAUCUAAGACAAGAAAUUUGGGACAGAGGGAGUAGUUG